This 491-nucleotide ribosomal RNA is filed under the name uncultured bacterium. Its description in RNAcentral is "partial 16S ribosomal RNA". It matches the Rfam family "Bacterial small subunit ribosomal RNA", at positions 29 to 506 of the family's 1533-position model. The record is from RNAcentral.
AGUGAACGCUGGCGGAAGGCCUAACACAUGCAAGUCGAACGGCAGCACAGUAAGAGCUUGCUCUUACGGGUGGCGAGUGGCGGACGGGUGAGGAAUACAUCGGAAUCUACUUUUUCGUGGGGGAUAACGUAGGGAAACUUACGCUAAUACCGCAUACGACCUACGGGUGAAAGCAGGGGAUCUUCGGACCUUGCGCGAUUGAAUGAGCCGAUGUCGGAUUAGCUAGUUGGCGGGGUAAAGGCCCACCAAGGCGACGAUCCGUAGCUGGUCUGAGAGGAUGAUCAGCCACACUGGAACUGAGACACGGUCCAGACUCCUACGGGAGGCAGCAGUGGGGAAUAUUGGACAAUGGGCGCAAGCCUGAUCCAGCCAUACCGCGUGGGUGAAGAAGGCCUUCGGGUUGUAAAGCCCUUUUGUUGGGAAAGAAAAGCAGCAGGUUAAUACCCCGCUGUUCUGACGGUACCCAAAGAAUAAGCACCGGCUAACUUCGU